This 508-nucleotide ribosomal RNA is filed under the name uncultured bacterium. Its description in RNAcentral is "partial 16S ribosomal RNA". It matches the Rfam family "Bacterial small subunit ribosomal RNA", at positions 28 to 523 of the family's 1533-position model. The record is from RNAcentral.
AACGAACGCUGGCGGCGCGCUUAAUACAUGCAAGUCGAGCGAGAACCGGAGCUUCGGCUCCGGGGACAGCGGCGAACGGGUGAGUAACACGUGGGUAACCUGCCCUCGGCACCGGGAUAGCCCGGGGAAACCCGGAUUAAUACCGGAUGGCCCUUUCGGUCUUCGGACCGGUCGGCAAAGGUAGCUUCGGCCUCCGGCCGAGGAUGGGCCCGCGGCGGAUUAGCUUGUUGGUGAGGUAACGGCUCACCAAGGCUCCGAUCCGUAGCUGGUCUGAGAGGACGAUCAGCCACACUGGGACUGAGACACGGCCCAGACUCCUACGGGAGGCAGCAGUAGGGAAUCUUGCGCAAUGGGCGAAAGCCUGACGCAGCGACGCCGCGUGCGGGAAGACGGCCUUCGGGUUGUAAACCGCUUUCAGGAGGGACGAAGCCACUCGGGUGAAUAGCCCAGAGGGUGACGGUACCUCCAGAAGAAGCCCCGGCUAACUACGUGCCAGCAGCCGCCGCAG